CAUAUUACUAAUCAAAAAUUAAGUUUUGAUAUAUUUACGGUAGGAAAUUUACAAAAUAUCUUCAUGGAACAUGAUCUUUACUUAAUAUCCUAAUGAUUUUUGGCAUAAAAGAAAAAUCGAUAAUUUUGACCCAUACAAUGUAUUUUUGGCUAUUGCUACAAAUAUACCCCAGAGACUUCAGACUGCUUUUGUGCUCCAGGGUCACAUAUCUCAACGGCCUUCCUCAAAUGAGUUUAGAACAACACAAGGGUGAGUAAACCAUGAACUCUCUCAUUAAAUGUGGCCUAUGAGCUGUGAUUUACAUGUAAACGUGGUGUGUCUCAUGUCCAGCGGCAGCGUUUCCUCUGGCACGUCUCGAGCUCUGAAGAGAAGUCGUCUGAGUCACUCUCAGAGGCGGAGUCAGGCCAUAAGGAGGCGUGGCCUGAUUGAGUGUAGGGGGAGCAUAGAAUGCAAGAACCACUGUGUUCCGGUUUACACACAGAACUGGCAUCAUUUCCCUUACAGCCGUCACUGGAAACAGACAGCGGCGAGUCGCAGCAAGGACAGGAAGCAGAUACCUGGUCAAAUUUAGGGUCAGGAAGGGAAUUGUGGUCAGGGCUGGAGGCGGAGCCACAGUAGAGGUCAGAAGGUGAGGGGGAAUCAAGGUAACAUGUAACAUCCAUUACAGAGACGGUUUCUUGAUAUUGUGCAUCAUCUGGACAGCAAGCAGGAUAUAUGGAGGCAGAAUCAAGAGGCUCAUCUUUACCGCGGCGUCUGCGCAGCCGAGGGUCAGCACCCAUCCCAGCUGCUUAGACAGCAGCAGACGCAGACCCGGCGGCAGCGGCAGCACGCGCAGAGCGUCUGCGCAGUUGGGCAGCAUUUUGCGCAGCUGCAUGCAACACAGACAGGAGAUGUCAUCUUGAUUUCCCAGAAGUGCUGUCCGUCGCUGAGAGGCUUGGCUCCUCUGAUGGCGGCGGUUCCACAGCUGUACUCCGAGUGGAAGCUCACCUUGCGUUCAGAGCAGCUCAGAGUCACCGAGGAUGAUUUGCUCUCCUCGUCCCAAACCCAAUCACAUCCUUAACACGACAAACACAAAGAACCAUGAUUUCCAAUCUGAAACUUUCCUACUGUACUGUACCUGACUGUUUAUAAGUAGGUGGAUUUUUGUGAGUUAAUGUUUUUCUAAUCGUAUAAAAUCGACAGUGUGUUGUCUGUUAAGUCAAAAAUGUAUUUAAUUGAAAUAAAUUCUCAUUUUGAAAAAUUAUGACUGUUAUAAUUUCUGACCGUUUGUAAUGUU
This is a long non-coding RNA of Cyprinus carpio carpio, 1276 nucleotides long. The record is from Ensembl. Lineage: Eukaryota; Metazoa; Chordata; Actinopteri; Cypriniformes; Cyprinidae.